Molecule: ribosomal RNA, 508 nt
Filed under: uncultured bacterium
Lineage: Bacteria
Description: partial 16S ribosomal RNA
Rfam family: Bacterial small subunit ribosomal RNA
Source: RNAcentral
GACGAACGCUGGCGGCGUGCCUAAUACAUGCAAGUCGAACGCUUCUUUCCUCCCGAGUGCUUGCACUCAAUUGGUAAGAGGAGUGGCGGACGGGUGAGUAACACGUUGGUAACGUACCCAUCAGAGGGGGAUAACACUUGGAAACAGGUGCUAAUACCGCAUAACAGUUUAUGCCGCAUGGCAUAAGAGUGAAAGGCGCUUUCGGGUGUCGCUGAUGGAUGGACCCGCGGUGCAUUAGCUAGUUGGUGAGGUAACGGCUCACCAAGGCCACGAUGCAUAGCCGACCUGAGAGGGUGAUCGGCCACACUGGGACUGAGACACGGCCCAGACUCCUACGGGAGGCAGCAGUAGGGAAUCUUCGGCAAUGGAGGAAAGUCUGACAGAGCAACGCCGCGUGAGUGAAGAAGGUUUUCGGAUCGUAAAACUCUGUUGUUAGAGAAGAACAAGGGCGUUAGUAACUGAACGUCUACUGACGGUAUCUAACCAGAAAGCCACGGCUAACUACGUG